Molecule: ribosomal RNA, 811 nt
Filed under: uncultured Actinomycetes bacterium
Lineage: Bacteria; Bacillati; Actinomycetota; Actinomycetes
Description: bacterial SSU rRNA
Rfam family: Bacterial small subunit ribosomal RNA
Source: RNAcentral
AAAGCCCCCUUCGGGGGGCAAGUAGAGUGGCGCACGGGUGAGUAACACGUAGGUAAUCUACCUUUGGAUGGGGAAUAACAACCGGAAACGGUUGCUAAUACCGCAUAAUGCAGCGGCACCUAAUGGUGACAGUUGUUAAAGCGGGGGAUCGAAAGACCUCGCGUCUGAAGAGGAGCCUGCGGCGGAUUAGCUAGUUGGUAAGGUAACGGCUUACCAAGGCUAUGAUCCGUAGCCGGCCUGAGAGGGCGGUCGGCCACACUGACACUGACAUACGGGUCAGACUCCUACGGGAGGCAGCAGUCGGGAAUUUUGGGCAAUGGGCGAAAGCCUGACCCAGCAACGCCGCGUGAAGGAUGAAAUCCUUCGGGAUGUAAACUUCGCAAGAACAGGAAGAAUAAGUAGGAGUUAAUAUCUCUUACGAUGACGGUACUGUUUGUAAGCUCCGGCUAACUCCGUGCCAGCAGCCGCGGUAAUACGGGGGGAGCAAGCGUUGUUCGGAUUUACUGGGCGUAAAGGGCGCGUAGGCGGCCACCGCAAGUCGACUGUGAAAUCUCUGGGCUUAACCCAGAAAGGUCAGCCGAUACUGCGGGGCUAGAGUGCAGAAGGGGCAACUGGAAUUCUCGGUGUAGCGGUGAAAUGCGUAGAUAUCGAGAGGAACACCUGCGGCGAAGGCGGGUUGCUGGGCUGACACUGACGCUGAAGCGCGAAAGCUAGGGGAGCGAACGGGAUUAGAUACCCCGGUAGUCCUAGCCUUAAACGAUGAAUGCUUGGUGUCUGGGGUUUUAUAGUCCCCGGGUGCCGUCGCUAACGC